Alosa alosa (allis shad) is the source of this 753-nucleotide long non-coding RNA. RefSeq lists it as uncharacterized. The transcript is spliced from 6 exons. NCBI's taxonomy places the organism in Eukaryota, Metazoa, Chordata, Actinopteri, Clupeiformes, Clupeidae. The record is from RefSeq and is a predicted model, not a curated record.
GUCCUGCCUACAGCCAUCAAGACCCAGCGACUCUGUGCAGUCAAAAGAACCUCAGACGGAAAAUGAUGAUCAGACUGAUACUGGUGAUUAUGGUCCUACAUGUGGGUACCAUCGCAGGUUUGACUCCGUGUCCAAACCAAGCCUACCCACAUUGGUUCAAGCUGGGGGAUGUUUGUGCCAGAUACUUUGCAUAUGAAUUCAACUUUGCUGACGCUGAGACAAGGUGCGGAGGAGAAGCUGCAGGUGGACAUCUUAUAUCUAUUCAUGAUGAGCAAACCAGUGAAGACGUGCAAAUUCUUACUGGGUCUUCUUAUACACGGGUCUGGAUUGGAGGAUUCAAGAUUCCCCAUAGUGGUAAAUUUGUAUGGACUGAUGGGUCAAACUGGGAUUACACAAACUGGGUUCAAGGGGAACCUAACGGUAAUGGUGACUGUGUGCAGAUCAACUAUGAUACUCCUGGCAAGUGGGAUGAUGUCCAGUGCUGGAGUUCACGUGGAUACGUCUGUGCUUUCAAGAUAUAGCAGCAUGGAGAAAUCUUCUGGCACAAUGCUGUCAUUUGGUAUAGCAUUAACUUCUAGUUGUGCAUUCAAACUGUUGGGCCUUGAAGGAAAUGUGUGAUCUUUUCUUCUUUUUACAAAGUGUCAUAAUGUCUUUUCAGAGAAUAAUGGCAUUUUGUAUACCUUACUAACCUUUCACAAUUGCAUGAUAAAAAGAAUUUAAAAAAAUUAACUUAUCAUAAAGUAUGGUGUCAUC